CGGCCGGCCGGGCCGCAGCCUCCAGCAGGGGGCGGCGGCGCUGCGCAGGAGCCGCUCCCCCCGGCCCGCCCCGCUCCGCUCCGCUCCGCUCCGCUCCCCGCCCGGCCGCAGACAAAGGCCGGCCUCCCGCCAGUCCCGCCGGCUGCCAGCUCCGCGCCGGGCCCGCGCGCGGCAUGGGCGGCUCCGGGGGCCCCGCGGAGCCAUGAGGCGCGGGCUGCGGGCGCAGCGGCGAGCAGCAUGGCCGGGGCCGGGGCCAGGGCUGGCCGGCGCGGCAUCCCCAAACGCAAGCCCAACUUCACGCUGCAGGAGAUCGACAUCCUGAUGAGCGAGGUGCUGCGCUACGAGCAGCUGCUCUUCGGGGCCAGCUCCACCAACGUGAACGCCUACGAGAAGCAGAAGAUCUGGUGGCGCAUCACCAACAAGAUCAACGCGGCGGGCCGCAACCAGCGCGACAUCGGCGAGGUGAAAAACCGCUGGCGCGGCCUGCGCCGCCGGGCCAACGACAAGAUCACCCGGCACCGCCAGGAGCGCCAGGCACCGCCCGACGCCCGCGGCUACUCUGUGCCCCGCAGCGCCGAGCCCCGCGAGCCCGAGCUCGGCCCGCAAUGGGGCCUGCACGGCGUGUGCCCGCUGGACGCGCCGCCCGGCUCCGGCGAGGUGCCCGCGCAGCAGGGGGCAGGUGUGAAGGAGGAGCCAGUAAAGGAGGAGCCAGUGGACGUGAAGCCAGAACCAUUCCAUACGCCUUCCACUGAGGUCAUCCAUCAGCAAGUGACGCGGGGAGGAGAGAGGCGGCUCCUCAGGAGUGCUGGCCAUGUGCCGGACGAUCCAUGUGAAGGCUGGAGCCAGAGCCCGCAGAAUCCCUCGCAAAAUGAACUCGCCAUCAGCGAGCUGGGAGGGCAGCAGGAGCCCCUGGGCACAGAUUUCACGAGUAUUAUCUUUGACCAAGAGGCAGAGCACCUGAAUGAUUGUAACGCAAGUGAGAGCGUGACCCCUGUAUCUGUGGCGCUGCAGGAGGGGGGGCUGGAGAAUGGCCAUCUUAGCCCCGUGGAGAAGCGGAUUCUCCAAUCCAAUGAGCAGCUGGUGCAGGAGAUGCGAGCCUUCCGCAGGGAGUACACGGAAAGCCGCAGGGAAACUGCCUCCAUCCUGCGCAUCAUCGCCAAGGCCCUCAGCAGUGUGAGCAGCAGCCUCUGUGAGAUCCGCGAUCUCUACCUCCGACAGCAAGUGACCCCCAAGCAGUGA
RNAcentral lists this long non-coding RNA (1239 nucleotides) under Chrysemys picta bellii (western painted turtle). RNAcentral's name for it is "lncRNA (ENSCPBG00000012609.1)". Lineage: Eukaryota; Metazoa; Chordata; Testudines; Emydidae. The record is from RNAcentral.